Molecule: small RNA, 26 nt
Filed under: Arabidopsis thaliana (thale cress)
Lineage: Eukaryota; Viridiplantae; Streptophyta; Magnoliopsida; Brassicales; Brassicaceae
Description: ATSL183170
Source: RNAcentral
AUCUCUCUCUUCUCUCUCUCUGAAGA